Molecule: long non-coding RNA, 1543 nt
Organism: Scylla paramamosain (green mud crab)
Lineage: Eukaryota; Metazoa; Arthropoda; Malacostraca; Decapoda; Portunidae
Exons: 4
Source: RefSeq, a predicted model, not a curated record
UAAUUAAAUUUAAAAAUCCUAUCAUACUGAAGUGCAUUAUUACCUGUGCUGAAAUUAAUUAUACCCUAUAGAGUCUCCGGAAAACAUAUCGAUAUUAUUCCAGGUUUUUUUUUUUUUUUCUUUUUUUAAAUGUCAAAAGUCAAAAGAAAGAAUCUCCUGGACUCUUUGCAUGGCUCACUCAUUAAUGAAAUAGUACUCCUUAGUAGUGGUGGUGGUGGUGCAGGACCUGAGCCAGUGACGAUUUCAUCCUCAGCUGUGUUAGUUAAAACAUGUGUCCAUCAUCAGGGACAGCGGCACAGCGUGGGUCCAUCAUCUAGGGUAGCAGCAUGACGUGGAUCCAUCAUUUGGGACAGCAGUACGGCGUGGAUCCAUCAUCAGGGACAACAGCACAGCGUGGGUCCAUCAUCUGAAACAGCAGCACGGCGUGAGUCCAUCAUCUGGGACAGCAGCACAGCGUAGGUCCAUCAUCUGGGACAGCAGCACGGUAAAAGGAUGAAGAUGAGAGAGAAGGUGGAGAGGAAAGUGACAGGAAAAAUGACGGAAGAACUGGAACAAAACUCGAUAAAGGAAUGUAAUAGUUUUAAGCCUAAAAAAAAAAAAAAAAAAAAAGCGGAGAUCAGAAAGCGAGAGAGGACGGAGAAAUUUGGGAAGGUUUUUCAAGAGAAGUUAGAUGUGGAAGGAGCACAGAUAAAAAAAAAAGUCUACAUAAUGGAGAUGAAGUGAUGUUCUGUACAGUUUUCAAGAGAAGUUAGGUGUGGAAGGAGCACAUGUGGAAAAAGUGUACAGAAUGGAGAUGAAGUGAUGUACAUUACAUAAUGAAUAAUAAUGAAGCUAAGAUAAAUAAGGAAAGCAUAGAUAAAAUCAUGAUUGCACUAGACAAGACUAAGAGGAAGAGAGAAUGUGAUGCAAUGCUAAAAGAAGUUACAGGAGAGAAGACAUGGAGGCCAAUCAAAAAACGCGAGGGAAAAUUAUGAAAAUUGCGAGUGAGAAAUCGAACUGAGAGGGUAUGAAGUGCCGGUGCAUGGGAUAGAGAUAUGAGAACAGUGUAAAAAUUACAGCAAUACAGUAAAUGUUCAAGGAUUAAUAAAACAAGAGCAAAGGAAGUAUAGUAUAGUAUAGUUUGUCUAAGAAAUUAAGAGAUGUAAAUUUUGAUAAUAAUUGUAUAAUUUUACUUCGCUCAUAUGAUUGCGCACUUGGCUACCAAAGAGAAGGCCCGCGCAGCGCUCGUCAUCAUCAUAAGGCAGGGUCAACAUCUGUUUUCUACCAUUUUGAUUGCCGCACCAGGCUAGUUUUGGAGUGUGAAAUUGCUCCAUGCUCUCAGUACCACUUGAGAGGACCUCACACUGCUGGGCCCACUGUGAUGCCAAGGGGUGGCUGCUCAGUGAUGCAGUAAUACCUGCUGCAAAUGAUGGUCCCAUGCCUUACUGCUGUCCCAGAUGAUAGACCCCACACCAUGCCACUGUCCCAGAUGAUGGACCCACACCAUGCUGCUAUCCCAGAUGAUGGACCCAUGCCAUACCAGUCCCAGAUGAUGGACCCAUGC